This 143-nucleotide microRNA precursor is filed under the name Paramuricea clavata. The record is from RNAcentral. Lineage: Eukaryota; Metazoa; Cnidaria; Anthozoa; Malacalcyonacea; Plexauridae.
GCCGUAGCCUGCGUAGCAGUCGCUUUAUUUUUUUAAAUUUUAUUUCAGGAUAUUUUUAUUUGAGGAUUUUUUAAUCCUCAAAUAAAAAUAUCCUGAAAUAAAAUUUAAAAAAAUAAAGCGACUGCUACGCAGGCUAAACAGGC